RNAcentral lists this ribosomal RNA (796 nucleotides) under Eleutherodactylus sp. USNM337773. Its description in RNAcentral is "partial 16S ribosomal RNA". It matches the Rfam family "Bacterial large subunit ribosomal RNA", at positions 1510 to 2528 of the family's 2925-position model. The record is from RNAcentral. Lineage: Eukaryota; Metazoa; Chordata; Amphibia; Anura; Eleutherodactylidae.
CGUCAAAGCUUAAUAUAUCUGUAUAAACAAUCUCAUAAGUACCUUAAAACCCCUAAAUAGUACUAAAUAAUUCUAUACCCCUAUAGAACCUAUCAUGCUAAAACUAGUAACAAGAAGAAACCUUCUCUUCUAUGUAAAUGUAAAUCAGAACAGAAGACCUACUGAUUCUUAACAGCCAUAAACUAUUGUAUUAACACGCUUAGAUAAAUUUACUUCAAAAACCUGUUAACCUUACACAAGAACAUAAAAAGAAAGAUUAUAAGAAAAAGAAGGAACUCGGCAAAUUAUGAUUCCGCCUGUUUACCAAAAACAUCGCCUCCUGCUAACCUAUAGGAGGUCCAGCCUGCCCAGUGACCUAGUUUAACGGCCGCGGUAUCCUAACCGUGCGAAGGUAGCGUAAUCACCUGUUUUUUAAUUGAAGACCUGUAUGAAUGGCAUCACGAGAAUCACACUGUCUCCUUUUUCCAAUCAGUGAAACUAAUCCUCCCGUGAAAAAGCGGGGAUAUUUAUGCAAGACGAGAAGACCCUUUGGAGCUUAAGACAAAGUAGUAUUGUGGCCCCCUCACUACACCUAUUUAUUUAAACACUUAUACUACAAGUCUUCGGUUGGGGCAACCGCGGAGUAAAAUUCACCCUCCAAGUUGAACGGAACUUUCCUAAACAAAAAGAAACACCUUUAUGUAUCAAUAAAUUGACACUUAUGACCCAAUAUUUUGAUUAUCGAACCAAGUUACCCUAGGGAUAACAGCGCAAUCCACUUCAAGAGUUCAUAUCGACAAGUGGGCUUACGACCUCG